UACGUAGGGUGCGAGCGUUAAUCGGCAUUACUGGGCGUAAAGCGUGCGCAGGCGGUUUGUUAAGUCUGAUGUGACAGCCCCGGGCUCAACCUGGGAACUGCAUUGGACACUGGCAAGCUCGAGUAUGGCAGAGGGGGGUGGAAUUCCGCGUGUAGCAGUGAAAUGCGUAGAGAUGCGGAGGAACACCGAUGGCGAAGGCAGCCCCCUGGGCCAAUACUGACGCUCAGGCACGAAAGCGUGGGGAGCAAACAGG
RNAcentral lists this ribosomal RNA (253 nucleotides) under uncultured bacterium. Its description in RNAcentral is "partial 16S ribosomal RNA". It matches the Rfam family "Bacterial small subunit ribosomal RNA", at positions 524 to 776 of the family's 1533-position model. The record is from RNAcentral.